This 76-nucleotide transfer RNA is filed under the name Bacilli bacterium. RNAcentral describes it as "tRNA-Phe". It matches the Rfam family "tRNA". From Rfam's summary of the family: Transfer RNA (tRNA) molecules are approximately 80 nucleotides in length. The record is from RNAcentral. Lineage: Bacteria; Bacillati; Bacillota; Bacilli.
GGCUUCGUAGCUCAGUCGGUAGAGCAGAGGACUGAAAAUCCUCGUGUCGGCGGUUCGAUUCCGUCCGAAGCCACCA